CAGCACCUCAAGUGGUCAGGAUGAUUAUUGGGCCUAAAGCAUCCGUAGCCUGCUUUGUUAGUUUUCGGUUAAAUCCAUACGCUCAACGUAUGGGCUGCCGGGAAUACUGCAAAGCUAGGGAGUGGGAGAGGUAGACGGUACUCGGUAGGAAGGGGUAAAAUCCUUUGAUCUAUUGAUGACCACCUGUGGCGAAAGCGGUCUACCAGAACACGUCCGACGGUGAGGGAUGAAAGCUGGGGGAGCAAACCGGAUUAGAUACCCGAGUAGUCC
Molecule: ribosomal RNA, 270 nt
Filed under: uncultured archaeon
Lineage: Archaea
Description: partial 16S ribosomal RNA
Rfam family: Archaeal small subunit ribosomal RNA
Source: RNAcentral